Molecule: long non-coding RNA, 575 nt
Organism: Mauremys reevesii (Reeves's turtle)
Lineage: Eukaryota; Metazoa; Chordata; Testudines; Geoemydidae
Exons: 2
Source: RefSeq, a predicted model, not a curated record
UGAGAAAAAUUAAGUUGACUUGUCCAAGUUUCCCUGUAUAUGAUGCAAGUUGCAACCCAUGCGGCACUUCAAGAAUUGCACAUGGUUAAUUAACCAUGUGCACUCUUCUCCAGUGUAUGGGCACAACGGGCUGGAGGAAGCCAGCAGGAGGAAUUCAUCACAGUAAACCAGACAGGCAAAUGAAGGACACUAAAGCGAGGAGGCAGUUUUCAUAUUUGGUCAAGCUUUUUUGAAGUUCUCAUGUAACCUGCUGAGUUCCCCUGCAGUCAUAGGGAUAUUUUUGGCUUCUCUCUCUCUCUCCCACAUCACACAUCCAGGCCAUAUCCAAAUUCUGCUGCUGCUUCAUCCUCUGCAGCUCUGAUAUUCACUUUUAUUUCCAUUCCCACAGCCAAGUGUUUUGUUCAGGUCCUUGUUAUAUUCCAGCUCAACUACUAUACCGGCCUCCCAAACAAUCAUCAUCUCUGCCUAUCAAUUUGAUCCGCUCACUCCUCUUUGAAUCCCUCCGGUGGCUCCACAUCUAUUAUCACAUCAGUUUUUAAACAUCUUGUCACCACCCUUAAAGUUCUACAUAAUUC